GUGCGACGGUACUGUAUCCCAUUUCGCGCAUUACUUCGUUAUUGUCACGCUCGCGCGCGUGCGGUCAAAGUAACACAGAAGUCCUCGCGCGUUUUUCCUUCGUCGCGCGUUAAUCUUCCGAGUUCCGCGACCGGCUUCUCUCGGAAUAAUCCUUACAAUUAAUUAGUGUCAACAACGAAGCUCCGCCCGUGAUCUGUGUGUGCAUUAUGUGUUCUCAGUGCGCGGGAUAAUGUGACGCCGUGCGCCACGUUUUCGAACGACGCGGGCCGAAACGCGCGCUCGUCGGAAGGUCCGGAAGUUUUCGGGAGUGCCGAGAUUAGUGCGAGAACGAGAGGCGAGGUCUCGUAUAGUAAAACCGCGAUAGUGUCGCAGCGGCCGUUCGUGCGGCGUCCUUUGUGGUCGGCGACACGGGGAGAGCAACAAGAGGAGAGUAUACGGGACGAGAGAGGAGGGCGAACGGAAGGUGCCCGUGAGAGUAGUACGGCGUGAAGUUGCCGCCGCUACGAUUAACGGAUACGAGCGACGAGCAGCCGCCGCGCCGGACAGAGACGGGGAGGAUUAAACAUAGUGCUAUUUGCGAUCCAGAGUAUUUAUAUUAGCCUGGAAGCAUUAAUCAUCCCAACAUCUCGCCGUCAUAUUGCUGCAAGCUGUGAAGAUAGUUUAUUCCGAUAGUUUUCUGUCCAAUUCCGGCGGAUACAGAAAGUGAUUAUUUGGACCAUGUUUGAACGGAGCUGCGAACAG
Long non-coding RNA from Atta colombica, 741 nucleotides. RefSeq lists it as uncharacterized. The transcript is spliced from 4 exons. The record is from RefSeq and is a predicted model, not a curated record. Lineage: Eukaryota; Metazoa; Arthropoda; Insecta; Hymenoptera; Formicidae.